AACACAUGCAAGUUGAGCGACGGACGUGGAAAGUAGAGAUACCGGAAGACUUACGGAGCAGCGGACUGGUGAGUAAUACAUGAGAAGCUGUCCAUCAGAGAGGGACAACAGCUGGAAACGGCUGCUAAUACCUCGUAGGCCGAAAGGUUAAAGCAGCAAUGUGCUGGUGGAGGUGCUCGUGUCCUAUCAACUAGAUGGCGGGGUAACGGCCCACCAUGGUAACGACGGGUAGCCGGCCUGAGAGGGUGUCCGGCCACACUGGGACUGAGAUACGGCCCAGACUCCUGCGGGAGGCAGCAGUGGGGAAUAUUGGGCAAUGGGAGGAAUCCUGACCCAGCGACGCCGCGUGAACGAAGAAGGCCUUCGGGUCGUAAAGUUCUUUUAUACUAGAAGAAAGAAAUGACGGUAUAGUAUGAAUAAGCCCCGGCUAACUACGUGCCAGCAGCCGCGGUAAUACGUAGGGGGCGAGCGUUGUCCGGAAUUACUGGGCGUAAAGGGCGCGCAGGCUGUUAAUCAAGUCAGCUGUUAAAUGGUCCGGCUUAACUGGAUUAUGCAGUUGAAACUGUUUGACUGGAGU
This 577-nucleotide ribosomal RNA is filed under the name uncultured rumen bacterium. Its description in RNAcentral is "bacterial SSU rRNA". It matches the Rfam family "Bacterial small subunit ribosomal RNA", at positions 50 to 647 of the family's 1533-position model. The record is from RNAcentral.